This 377-nucleotide ribosomal RNA is filed under the name uncultured bacterium. RNAcentral's name for it is "bacterial SSU rRNA". It matches the Rfam family "Bacterial small subunit ribosomal RNA", at positions 521 to 896 of the family's 1533-position model. The record is from RNAcentral.
UAAGACGAACCUUGCUAACGUUAUUCGGAAUUACUGGGCUUAAAGGGUGCGUAGGCGGUGCGGAAAGUCGGGUGUGAAAUCCCCCAGCUCAACUGGGGAAUUGCGCCUGAAACUACCGUGCUCGAGGAAGACAGAGGUACGCGGAACUUAGGGUGGAGCGGUGAAAUGCGUUGAUAUCCUAAGGAACACCGGUGGCGAAAGCGGCGUACUGGGUCUUAUCUGACGCUGAGGCACGAAAGCUAGGGUAGCGAACGGGAUUAGAUACCCCGGUAGUCCUAGCCGUAAACGCUGAGCACUUGAUUGAAGGCUCCUCCAUAAGCUUUUAGUCGUAGCGAAAGUGUUAAGUGCUCCGCCUGGGGAGUAUGGUCGCAAGGCUG